AUUGAACGCUGGCGGCAUGCCUUACACAUGCAAGUCGAACGGUAACGCGGGGGCGAACCCUCGGCGACGAGUGGCGAACGGGUGAGUAAUACAUCGGAACGUGUCCUGUUGUGGGGGAGUAACCCAACUCGAAAGGUAGAGCUAAUACCGCAUGAUCUGGAGACAGCAAAGCAGGGGACCGGUAACGGCCUUGCGCGAUUGGAGCGGCCGAUGUCCGAUUAGCUAGUUGGUGGGGUAAAGGCCCACCAAGGCAACGAUCGGUAGCUGGUCUGAGAGGAUGAUCAGCCACACUGGGACUGAGACACGGCCCAGACUCCUACGGGAGGCAGCAGUGGGGAAGUUUUGGACAAUGGGGGCGAACCCUGACGCAGCGACGCCGCGUGGAGGAUGAAGAUUUUCGGAUCGUAAACUCCUGUCGAAUGGGACGAAAAGAUUGCGGGUGAACAGCCCGUAGUCCUGACGGUACCGUUAAAGGAAACCCCGCUAACUCCGUGCCAGCCGCCGCGGUAAUACCUGAAACU
Molecule: ribosomal RNA, 521 nt
Filed under: uncultured bacterium
Lineage: Bacteria
Description: partial 16S ribosomal RNA
Rfam family: Bacterial small subunit ribosomal RNA
Source: RNAcentral